This 467-nucleotide ribosomal RNA is filed under the name uncultured bacterium. RNAcentral describes it as "partial 16S ribosomal RNA". It matches the Rfam family "Bacterial small subunit ribosomal RNA", at positions 29 to 507 of the family's 1533-position model. The record is from RNAcentral.
AUGAACGCUGGCGGCGUGCUUAACACAUGCAAGUCGAACGGAAAGGCCCAAGCUUGCUUGGGUACUCGAGUGGCGAACGGGUGAGUAACACGUGGGUGAUCUGCCCUGCACUUCGGGAUAAGCCUGGGAAACUGGGUCUAAUACCGGAUAGGACCACGUCUUGGAUGUUGUGGUGGAAAGUUUUUUCGGUGUGGGAUGAGCUCGCGGCCUAUCAGCUUGUUGGUGGGGUAAUGGCCUACCAAGGCGUCGACGGGUAGCCGGCCUGAGAGGGUGUACGGCCACAUUGGGACUGAGAUACGGCCCAGACUCCUACGGGAGGCAGCAGUGGGGAAUAUUGCACAAUGGGCGCAAGCCUGAUGCAGCGACGCCGCGUGGGGGAUGACGGCCUUCGGGUUGUAAACUCCUUUCGCUAGGGACGAAGCGUUUUUGUGACGGUACCUGGAGAAGAAGCACCGGCUAACUACGUG